This 468-nucleotide ribosomal RNA is filed under the name uncultured bacterium. RNAcentral describes it as "partial 16S ribosomal RNA". It matches the Rfam family "Bacterial small subunit ribosomal RNA", at positions 28 to 507 of the family's 1533-position model. The record is from RNAcentral.
GAUGAACGCUGGCGGCGUGCUUAACACAUGCAAGUCGAACGGUGAAGGCGGAGCUUGCUCUGCUGGAUCAGUGGCGAACGGGUGAGUAACACGUGAGCAAUCUGCCCCUGACUCUGGGAUAAGCGCUGGAAACGGCGUCUAAUACUGGAUACGAGCUGCGAAGGCAUCUUCAGCAGCUGGAAAGAACUUCGGUCAGGGAUGAGCUCGCGGCCUAUCAGCUUGUUGGUGAGGUAACGGCUCACCAAGGCGUCGACGGGUAGCCGGCCUGAGAGGGUGACCGGCAACACUGGGACUGAGACACGGCCCAGACUCCUACGGGAGGCAGCAGUGGGGAAUAUUGCACAAUGGGCGAAAGCCUGAUGAAGCAACGCCGCGUGAGGGACGACGGCCUUCGGGUUGUAAACCUCUUUUAGCAGGGAAGAAGCGAAAGUGACGGUACCUGCAGAAAAAGCGCCGGCUAACUACGUG